GAUGAAGAACGUAGCAAAAUGCGAUACUUGGUGUGAAUUGCAGAAUCCCGUGAACCAUCGAGUUUUUGAACGCAAGUUGCGCCCGAAGCCUUUUGGCCGAGGGCACGUCUGCCUGGGCGUCACGCAUCGCGUCGCCCCCCACAAUUCUCCGUAAAAGGAACAUGUGUUUUGGGGGCGGAUAUUGGUCUCCCGUGCUCAUGGCGUGGUUGGCCGAAAUAGGAGUCCUUUCGAUGGACGCACGAACUAGUGGUGGUCGUAAAAACCCUCGUCUUUUGUUUCGUGCUGUUGCUCGCAAGGUAAACUCUUUAAAAACCCCAAUGUGUCGUCUCUUGACGACGCUUCGACCGCGACCCCAGGUCAGGCGGGACUACCCGCUGAGUUUAAGCAUAUCAAUAAGCGAGGA
RNAcentral lists this unclassified non-coding RNA (403 nucleotides) under soil metagenome. Its description in RNAcentral is "partial contains 5.8S ribosomal RNA, internal transcribed spacer 2, and large subunit ribosomal RNA". The stretch from base 1 to 122 matches the Rfam family "5.8S ribosomal RNA", at positions 35 to 154 of the family's 154-position model. The record is from RNAcentral.